Molecule: ribosomal RNA, 59 nt
Filed under: Barjonia chlorifolia
Lineage: Eukaryota; Viridiplantae; Streptophyta; Magnoliopsida; Gentianales; Apocynaceae
Also listed under: 35 other names
Description: partial 26S ribosomal RNA
Source: RNAcentral
CCCCAGGUCAGGCGGGGCUACCCGCUGAGUUUAAGCAUAUCAAUAAGCGGAGGAAAAGA